RNAcentral lists this transfer RNA (70 nucleotides) under Camelus dromedarius (Arabian camel). It matches the Rfam family "tRNA". Rfam says of the family: Transfer RNA (tRNA) molecules are approximately 80 nucleotides in length. Their secondary structure includes four short double-helical elements and three loops (D, anti-codon, and T loops). The record is from Rfam by way of RNAcentral. Lineage: Eukaryota; Metazoa; Chordata; Mammalia; Artiodactyla; Camelidae. RNAcentral also lists the same sequence under 1 other name.
GUGGGUACAGCUCAGUGGUAGAGCACAUGCUUAGCAUGCAUGAGUCCUGGUUCUAUUCCCAGUACCUCUA